Molecule: long non-coding RNA, 4064 nt
Organism: Gorilla gorilla gorilla (western lowland gorilla)
Lineage: Eukaryota; Metazoa; Chordata; Mammalia; Primates; Hominidae
Exons: 3
Source: RefSeq, a predicted model, not a curated record
UUUUUGGCCAAGGGCUAUUGGAGAGAUAGGGGUGGGAUGCGGAGACAGAGAAACAGAACGAAAGGAAUUUGAGACCAGAGGAAGGAGGAGAGAAGAGCAAGGGGAGGGCACUGGCGGCAGAGCUGAGAAGCCCAGGCUGCCCUUUACCUCCACCUCCAGCCUGGGCACAGGGGCGAGCUCUGAGCUCAGAGACUCUGAGUCCUGCCUCUUGGGGCCUUGGGGAGGGGACCCCAGGUCUCCUGUAGGGUCUGGGCCCAACCCCCAAACCCUGGGGGCAGCUGGGUUGGAGUCCUGGGGUCAGUAUUCGGGGUGCAGGUGUGGGGUGCAGUGACUGAACUGCCCUCAUGGGAAAAGGAGGGAGGGGAUUGCAGGUACCUAGGGGGCAUGAACCUGGGCAUGCGUUGACUUAGUGUGUGUGGUCUCUUUGCAGCAGGGUUGUUGAGAGUGCGCGUGAGGUUGCGAGUAUGCUAGGACUCUGUGUGGACACCUGUGAACAUACAUGACCCAGUGGCAGACAAGCUGGGAUUUCAGUGGGGAGGGGAAGGACUGCAGGAAUGUGUGUCUAUGACCGGCAGGGAGUGGUUGUAUAUGUGUGGAAGGAUUUGUGUGAACCUGCCUUACAUGUUCUUGGGGAGGCUGUAUCCUGUGUAUGUAGGCAGGUGAACUGUAUAGCUCUGUACAAUUGUGUGUGGUGUGUGUGUGUGUGUGUGUGUGUGUGUGUGUGCCUGGAUGAAUAUGUAUCAUGUGUUUGAAUUGCUUAAGUAUUUACAUGUUAAAUGUGUAACUGCAUAUAUGUGUGGAUGUGUAUACAUGUUUGUAAUUGUCUUGAGGUAUAUGUGUGGAGUUACCUGUAUGAGUCUUGCCUGUAGGUUGUGUGUGCAGUCGUGUGUAUUUGUGGAGCAGUGAAUAUUAGGAAGCUGUUCACAUGUGCGGUUGUGUAUUUUGGGGGAUUAGGUUAUAUGUGUGGUUCUUUUUGGAUGGAGUUUCACUCUUGUCACCCAGGCUGGAGUGUAGUGUCAGGAUCCCGGCUCACUGCAACCUCUGCCUCCUGAGUUCAAGCAAUUCUCGUGCCUCAGCCUCCCGAGUAGCUGGGAUCACAGGUGUGUGCCACCAUGCCUGGCUACUUUUUGUAUUUUUAGCAGAGACGGGGUUUUGCCAUGUUGCCCAGGCUGGUCUUGAACUCCUGGCCUCAAGUGAUCUGUCCACCUCGACCUCCCAAAGGGCUGCGAUCACAGGUGCGAGCCACCAUGCCUGGCCUAUAUUUGUGGUUCUUAAGGCUAUACUUUAUUUUUUAUUUUUUGUUUAUUGUCAAACUUCCCCUGUCAGAAUGUAAACUCUAUUAGGACUGAAAUUUUUAUCUAUUUUGCUAACUAUUUUGCUAAUCUAUUCCUAGUGUCCAGAAUAGGGCCCAACACUUAGUAGGCACUGUAUACGUAUUUCUCCAAUGAAUGAUGAAUGAAAGUGUGCAUGCUUGGCAGGUGUGGGAAGUGUGUUAGGUGUAUGAAUCGUGCUUGUGUGUCUGGGUGUGUGAAUGGAUAAAUUUUUUGUGUCUUGAGUGUGUGAGGUUUCUAGCAUAAGUGGCCUAUGAACCAAGUACGUGCACAGGUGCAUGUGUGUCUAGGCGUGUGACUGUGUACCUGAAGCUGGGCCACGUCUGUGAGCAUUGCACACAACUGUGUGUGUGCACAGUUGUGUGUGCUUGUACAUGGGGGUGGGAAGGCGCUGUCGGCUUCUCCCAGCCUUCAGCACUCACUCAGCUUCACCCCAGGUCGCCUGCUGCGAAAUGUCAGUGGCAGAGAAGCUAAAAAUAUCUGCUCUCCUCCUUCUGCUCACUGCUUGGGCUGAUGGGACUGUGGGGCCCCAGCCGGCCCCUUGGGCCCUGCGGGGAGGAGGAACUGCUGGAUGAGGGGGCGGGUUACAGGGGAAGGAAGGGAGGCCCUCCUCAGUACACACCCUUCCCCCUUUCCUCUUGGGCUCCAAAGCCAGGCUUCAGGCUCACCUCUUUCAGGAAGCCCUCAAGAACCCCCCAGGAGCUGUGUGUGUCUGUGUGUCUGUCUACCUGGCAAGGAGAUAUGGCCCCCAUCAGACUGGAGCUCCACAGAGCAGGUCUGUGCCUCUUCUGCUCAUCCAGGGACUCCAGGGGACAGAGCUCUGUCUCCUUCAGACCAGGGGCUCCCAGGGAAAAGGCUGGUGCUGUCUCCUCCCUAAGCCUGAGGGUUACGGAUGCAGCCCAGGCCAGACAGGGCUUCACUGGGCUCUGGUUCUGGGGCCACUAGGGCCCUCUGACCCCAGGGCAGAUCUGCUGUGAUGAUGAGCUUGUGGGUAGGGAGGAGUCUCAGCUCUGCCCACACCACACCCUAGGCUGGCACGUGUUUGUGCUAUGGGUACUUGUGUGGGUGCAGGUGGGACAUGUCAGGGCCCGUGGUCCUCUGAGGACCUGUGCCUCUCCACAUGUCAGGCUCCUGCCUGCAUCAGUGGUGUCAGCGACUGCCUGCCUUGGGCACUGUGGUCAAUCAGUACAAGUUGAGUGUAUUGUAUGUUUCUCUGUGUUCUUUUUUUUUUGGGACGGAGUCUCGCUCUGACACCUCCCUAGUAGCUGAGACUACAGGCGUGUGCCACCACACCCGGCUAAGUUUUUGUAUUUUUAGUAGCAAGAGGGUUUCAUCAUGUUAGCCAGGAUGGUCUCCAUCUCCUGACCUCAGGUGAUCUGCCCGCCUCGGCCUCCCAAAGUGCUGGGAUUACAGGUGUGAGCCACCACACCUGACCUUCUCUGUGUUCUUGUGUGUGCACAUGGAUGACUGUGUUAUGUGGGUUUCUGCCUUUCAUUGUGCAGGCCUGCAGAUACUAGCAGGGAUGGACUCUGCAUUCAUGUGGGAGUUGCUGAUGUCACCAUGUGGGGUUUCUCUUUGUGUGUCAGUGUGCUCGGGUGUGUGUCUCUGUCAGAAGGUCGGUGCCUGUUUGUUCUGUGUAUGGAGGUGUAUGUGGGUGCAUCUGUGUGUCAGUGUUUCGAUUACCGUGUUUCUGUGUGUCUGUGUGUCUGUCUUCCUGGUUGUCAUUCUGUCUGCGGUACCUCCGUGCCUGUGUUGCGUGCCUAGGUCAGUUUGAUUUUGCAGGUCUGUAGGGCCACGUGUCCCUCUGUAUGUUGGUGUUUUCCAUGUGGGUUGGAAUCUGCCUCUGCUUUUCCUAAUCUCCCACCAUUUCUGUGUGGAAGGCCUCAGGCAUUGUGUGUGUGUGUGUGUGUGUGUGUGUGUGUGUGUGUGUGUGUGUGUGUAUGUGUGUGUGUGUUCAGCAACUUUCCCCAGCCCCAAAGCCUGCAACCCUGAGAUCUGCUCUCCCACUCUUUCUCCGUUGGACUUCAGGUGGGAGCUGAAGCAAAGAGGGCAGGCAGGCAGGGAGCCCACGACAGCCGGGGGCCGGGGCCAGGCUGCCACGAGGGCCCUACCUCAGCUUUCCUCCAAGCAAGCGCUAAGCCAGAGCCUCGGUUACAUGUAAACACCAGCUGUGUCAAGACGGCGCAGCUUCUUCUAGGUCAACAGACAGCUGUGGGGUUGCUAGGCAACCGCCUGGCUCCCCCCUCCAUUAGGCCCCCUCCCACUGCCUCUACCUGCAAACCCUCUGCUGGCUCCCCCUACGCCAGGAUAGGCCUCACCCCUCCGCGCCAAUUAACACAGCGGGACUGAGGGGGUAGGGGGUCAGGGCAGCUCCGGGACUGGAAUCAAGAUGGAGUCUGGAUCUGUCACGCAGGCUGGAGUGCAGUCGCGCGAUCUCAGCUCACUGCAACCUGUGCCUCCCGGGUCAAGCGAUUCUCCUGCCUCGGCCUCCCAAGGAACUGGAACCACAGGCGCGCGCCACCGCGCCCAAGGAUUUUCACUUUUAACUGUACAGUGAAGCACAGACUUCUGAGCCAGACUGCUUGGUCUGAACUCUGGUGUCACCACUUAAAAACAACAACAACAACAACAGAAGAGAAAACCCAAAAGAGUGAAAAAUAAGAAAGAAAAAAAAAGCUCCCGCAAGAGGUUCUUCUCCCUCCCCCCGACCAUGCGAAUUUGCACACCACGGGA